CUACGUGCCAGCAGCCGCGGUAAUACGGAAGGUCCAGGCGUUAUCCGGAUUUAUUGGGUUUAAAGGGAGCGUAGGCUGGAGAUUAAGUGUGUUGUGAAAUGUAGACGCCCAACGUCUGAAUUGCAGCGCAUACUGGUUUCCUUGAGUACGCACAACGUUGGCGGAAUUCGUCGUGUAGCGGUGAAAUGCUUAGAUAUGACGAAGAACUCCGAUUGCGAAGGCAGCUGACGGGAGCGCAACUGACGCUUAAGCUCGAAGGUGCGGGUAUCAAACAGGAUUAGAUACCCUGGUAGUCCGCACAGUAAACGAUGGAUGCCCGCUGUUGGUACCUGGUAUCAGCGGCUAAGCGAAAGCAUUAAGCAUCCCACCUGGGGAGUACGCCGGCAACGGUGAAACUCAAAGGAAUUGACGGGGGCCCGCACAAGCGGAGGAACAUGUGGUUUAAUUCGAAGCAACGCGAAGAACCUUACCAGGUCUUGACAUCCCUCUGACCGCUCUAGAGAUAG
Molecule: ribosomal RNA, 506 nt
Filed under: uncultured bacterium
Lineage: Bacteria
Description: bacterial SSU rRNA
Rfam family: Bacterial small subunit ribosomal RNA
Source: RNAcentral